AUGCCCAACGCACUCAAGCUGGAACUCUUUUCAAAAGUUAAUUUAUUUCCACCAGGCGCACAUCUCAGGGAUCUCAAAAACGGCCUCAUCCAAAUUUUGUACAAAAUCACAUUUUGGUGUGUGUGUGUGGGGGGGGGGGGGGAGCCUCGUUAUUGUGAAUUUGCAGGGGAGUGCUCCAGAGAGACCAGCUGGGGAGGAGGAGAGGAAAAGGAGGGCAGACGGUGGUUUUUUGGAGAACUAAUCAUGCCAGGGCAGCUAGUGGCACUGCCCAGGUCUUCGCACAGCGGCCGGCCCUGCAGACCUCUGACUAAAGGGCUCUUUUACUUGGAGAUGCGGACAGUCCAUCAUUUCAAACCGAAAUGGCAGCUGGAAAAUGUGGAACAGCUGGCAGAGAGCUGGGAGAAAAUGUUUUACAUAAAUAUAUGUACAUAUAAACUGGCAGAGGGCCACAGGCACUGCACCCAAGGCCAGCAGCAUCUACGCGGGGUAGGAGAAGUCGGGGCAGCACGAGCAGUGAGGACGCUGCCUCCUGCAUCCUCUGGGCACGCGGGGUCAGCGGGGGCCGCCCGGGGCCAGCCCCCCCCCCCCCCCCCCCCCCCAGGCCCGGGCCCCUCCUCGGGGGCGGGGGGGGGGGCACCUCCUGCAGGAGCUGCAGGACCCACGACCGGGGCGCAAAGUUCAGGGAAGGAUACGAGGCCCGGCUGUGCACUGGCGCUUCGGCAUCUGGCGAUCUGCUUAAAAGUCGCUUCACAAACUCUCCAAGUUUGGGGGUAUGAAGAAUUCUUCUAAGGAAUUCCAGUGAACAAAACUUCCUGUAUGUGCUACAUAAGAAACUGGGAGAAGAGAGGCCACGUUUCUGGGAACACGAUGAGGAGUUCAGAUAUUUUACGAAAAGUCAAGAAGCAGUGAUCAUGUACUUGGGAAUCGUGAUGCUCGUGGGAAGAGGCACCUCUCCAACAUUGAUAGCUGUGGGGUUCAGAGAAAGGGCUCUGAGAUCACAGCGAGAGGCUAACAUGAGUGGCGAGGGGCAACCAAGGAGUCCCACCCCAAAAGCCGCAGCAUGGGACCCGUGGGACUGGUAGUGCCGGGCAUCUGGUGGCCAGGGGAGAAUGUGAACCAUCACCGCAGAGAACGUGGGACCUCAGAGAACGAAGCAAGGGAAAUGAAGGACACAGGAGCUCCUGCUGCAUCAUCGAGUAGAGCCAGUGAUUAUUUUUAUAUCUUUGUUAUUGUAAGCCCUUCCGCGGCCCUUUUAGGAUCCAGCGUGGCUGAGGAGGGAAGCCCGAGUUAUACACACAAGGCGAAAGGCAGGCUUUCUCGAUCUCUCUCUCCUCAUCUGUCUGUCCGUCUUGUAUAGCACAUGGUUCUGCUUCUGAUGCCGAUGGCUGUCGUCUCACUUCUUUGGGGUUUUAAUACUAAGCAGAAGCAUUACAAGAGAGAACAGACCUAGAUUUUAAUCAGUUCUCCACCACUACCGUCUCUGUAGCUUUGCCAACCUGAUUCACUCAGUUUGCCCACCUGUAAAUUGGAAAUAAUGACACCAUCUCACAGAGUUCUUGGGGGAAGGAAAGUAAACGGUGUAUGGAAAGGGGCGGGCCUCUGUUCUGUCUGGGAGACGCCACGAAAAGCAAAUUUCCUCUUCCUCCGACUUUUUAUGCCAGCCGAGCCCGAGGUUACCGGUUAGAGCCUUUUCAUGCUCGAUAAGGAAGACAUUGGAGAUGUGAGGGUUUAAGUCUCUGUUCUCCUUCACCUAUGAAAGUGGGACUUGUUGUGAAUAGUUUCUCUACUGAAGUAUACAAAGUCACAGAACUAUUUCAAGAGUCUAUUACUCACCAAGAGCUCUCCGGAGAAGCAUUCCUUCAAAGAAACAACCUGCCGAUUCCAGACAACUUGCUACUCUUCCUGGCUCAUGAUGUUUUAGAAGUCAUUUACCAGGUCAGCCCUCAGAAAGAGCAAAGAUUCAGAGCUCCUGACCCUUGGGUACUCUGGGUUUUUCUUUCUACAAACCCAGCAACCAGUGUGGCUCUGCAGGAUGACAGUGUGCGGACAAGGCUGUGUGAAAAGAAGAGGUUUCCUUCCUAGUCCAGACUCCCCACCCCUGGGAAGCCUUAGAUCAACUCUCCAUCCAGUCAUUGAUUCAUUCAACAAACGUGCAUGGAUGGAGUGUGAAAUGUGGGACCAGCUGCACAAGCCGUCGGGCAUAUGGUGGUGAGCCAAUAACUACCUCCCUUGCCCUCAUGGAGCCUAGAACCUAGUGGGGGAGGCAAACACGAGCACACACACACACACACACACACACACACACAGUAUGGUGAGCAAGAUAAAGAACCUGGAUAUCGGGAUCCCUGGGUGGCUCAGCGGUUUAGCGCCAGGGCGCGAUCCUGGAAUCCCUGGAUCGAGUCCCGUGUCGGGCUCCCAGGGAGCCUGCUUCUCCCUCUGCCUGUGUCCNCUCUCUCUCUCUCUCAUGAAUAAAUAAAUAAAUCUUAAAAAAAAAAAAAAAGAA
Molecule: long non-coding RNA, 2503 nt
Organism: Vulpes vulpes (red fox)
Lineage: Eukaryota; Metazoa; Chordata; Mammalia; Carnivora; Canidae
Source: Ensembl